CCUACGGGAGGCAGCAGUGGGGAAUAUUGCACAAUGGGGGAAACCCUGAUGCAGCGACGCCGCGUGAGUGAAGAAGUAUUUCGGUAUGUAAAGCUCUAUCAGCAGGGAAGAAAAUGACGGUACCUGAUUAAGAAGCCUCGGCUAACUACGUGCCAGCAGCCGCGGUAAUACGUAGGGGGCAAGCGUUAUCCGGAUUUACUGGGUGUGAAGGGAGCGUAGACGGGAGCACAAGUCUGGAGUGAAAUGCCGGGGCUUAACCCCGGAACUGCUUUGGAAACUGUGCAGCUAGAGUGCAGGAGAGGUAAGUGGAAUUCCUAGUGUAGCGGUGAAAGGCGUAGAUAUUAGGAGGAACACCAGUGGCGAAGGCGGCUUACUGGACUGUAACUGACGUUGAGGCUCGAAAGCGUGGGGAGCAAACAGGAUUAGAUACCCUGGUAGUC
RNAcentral lists this ribosomal RNA (440 nucleotides) under uncultured bacterium. RNAcentral describes it as "partial 16S ribosomal RNA". It matches the Rfam family "Bacterial small subunit ribosomal RNA", at positions 338 to 795 of the family's 1533-position model. The record is from RNAcentral.